Molecule: ribosomal RNA, 253 nt
Filed under: uncultured bacterium
Lineage: Bacteria
Description: partial 16S ribosomal RNA
Rfam family: Bacterial small subunit ribosomal RNA
Source: RNAcentral
UACGUAGGGUGCGAGCGUUAAUCGGAAUUACUGGGCGUAAAGCGUGCGCAGGCGGUUUGUUGUGUCGGCGGUGAAAGCCCCGGGCUUAACCUGGGAAUGGCCGUUGAAACUGGCGAACUGGAGUGUGGCAGAGGGGGGUGGAAUUCCGCGUGUAGCAGUGAAAUGCGUAGAGAUGCGGAGGAACACCGAUGGCGAAGGCGGUUCUCUGGGACGGUACUGACGCUGAGACGCGAAAGCGUGGGGAGCGAACAGG